Molecule: ribosomal RNA, 253 nt
Filed under: uncultured bacterium
Lineage: Bacteria
Description: partial 16S ribosomal RNA
Rfam family: Bacterial small subunit ribosomal RNA
Source: RNAcentral
UACGGAGGGUGCGAGCGUUGUCCGGAAUCACUGGGCGUAAAGCGCGCGUAGGUGGCCCUGUAAGUCCGUUGUGAAAGUCAAAGGCUCAACCUUUGAAAGCCGAUGGAUACUGCAGGGCUAGAGUACGGAAGAGGCGAGUGGAAUUCCUGGUGUAGCGGUGGAAUGCGCAGAUAUCAGGAGGAACACCAAUAGCGAAGGCAGCUCGCUGGGACGUUACUGACACUGAGGCGCGAAAGCGUGGGGAGCGAACAGG